UCAACACCACCAACAUUGUGACUCACACCUCCUCACUACCAUCACCACCAUCAACACCAUCAUCACCACCACCACUGUGACUCCCACCUCCUCACCACCAUCACCACCAUCAACACCACCAACAUUGUGACUCACACCUCCUCACUACCAUCACCACCAUCAACACCACCACCAUUGUGACUCCCACCUCCUCACCACCAUCAACACCAUCAUCACCACCACCAUUGUGACUCCCACCUCCUCACCACCAUCAACACCAUCAUCACCACCACCAUUGUGACUCCCACCUCCUCACCACCGUCAACACCAUCAUCACCACCACCAUUGUGACUCCCACCUCCUCACCACCGUCAACACCAUCAUCACCACCACCACUGUGACUCCCACCUCCUCACUACCAUCACCGCCAUCAACACCACCAACAUUGUGACUCACACCUCCUCACUACCAUCACCACCAUCAACACCAUCAUCACCACCACCACUGUGACUCCCACCUCCUCACCACCAUCACCACCAUCAACACCACCAACAUUGUGACUCACACCUCCUCACUACCAUCACCACCAUCAACACCACCACCAUCAUCACCAUCACCAUUGUGACUCCCAUCUCCUCACCACCAUCACCACCAUCAACACUGACACCAUUGUGACUCCCACCUCCUCACCACCAGCAACACCAUCAUCACCACCAACAUUGUGACUCCCACCUCCUCACCACCAUCACCACCAUCAACACCACCAACAUUGUGACUCACACCUCCUCACUACCAUCACCACCAUCAACACCACCACCAUCAACACCGCCACCAUUGUGACUCCCAUCUCCUCACCACCAUCACCACCAUCAACACCACCAUUGUGACUCCCAUCUCCUCACCACCAUCACCACCAUCAACACUGCCAACAUUGUGACUCCCACCUCCUCACCACCAUCACCACCAACACCACCACCAUUGUGACUCCCAUCUUCUCACCACCAUCACCACCAUCAACACCGCCAACAUUGUGACUCCCACCUCCUCACCAACAUCAACACCAUCAUCACCACCACCAUCAUCACCAUCACCAUUGUGACUCCCACUUCCUCACCACCAUCAACACUGACACCAUUGUGACUCCCACCUCCUCACCACCAUCACCACCCUCAUCACCACCACCAUUGUGACUCCCACCUCCUCACCACCAUCACCACCAUCAACACUGACACCAUUGUGACUCCCACUUCCUCAUCACCAUCACCACCCUCGUCACCACCACCAUUGUGACUCCCACCUCCUCACCACCAUCACCACCGACACCAUUGUGACUCCCGCCUCAUCACCACCGUCAACACCAUCAUCACCACCACCAUUGUGACUCCCACCUCCUCACCACCGUCAACACCAUCAUCACCACCACCAUUGUGACUCCCACCUCCUCACCACCAUCACCACCAACAACACCACCACCAUUGUGACUCCCACCUCCUCACCACCAUCAACACCAUCAUCACCACCACCAUUGUGACUCCCACCUCCUCACCACCAACACCGCCACCAUUGUGACUCCCACCUCCUCACCACCACCACCACCAUCAACACCACCAACAUUGUGACUCUCACCUCACCACCAUCAACACCAUCAACACCACCAUUGUGACUCCCACCUCCUCAUCACCAUCACCACCAUCAACACCACCAUUGUGACUCCCACCUCCUCAUCACCAUCCCACCAUCAAUGAUGCUAUCAUUGACUCAGUAUUCACCAUUUUCCAGGCACCAUUUUAAGUAUAUGACAUAUCUUAACUCAUGGUCAUAAAAAUCCUGUGAGCUAUGCAGCAUUAUUAUCCCAAUUUACAGAAAAGAAAGUGAGGCACAGAGAAGCAACUGAACCUGUGACUCACCCCCUAAAUGCCACCGGCAGGAUGUGGAGAUCGCCACUGAUGGAG
Long non-coding RNA from Gorilla gorilla gorilla (western lowland gorilla), 1931 nucleotides. RefSeq lists it as uncharacterized. The record is from RefSeq and is a predicted model, not a curated record. Lineage: Eukaryota; Metazoa; Chordata; Mammalia; Primates; Hominidae. The transcript has 2 exons.